GAGGAGAUAAGUGACAUAAACUGGCAUGUUCUGAAAGAAUCACUCUGGAUGCUGUGUGGAGAAAACACUGAAAAGAAUUCUAGAGUGAAAGUUUCAUGAAUAUAAGAAGCAAGACAAGGAAGUGGCUUAUGCUUAAGGCCUUAAAGGCAACCACUGUGACAAUCCAGCCAUUCUCUGGAGAAUUCAGCAGAAAGCCAGUUGGAAAGUGAGGAGACAUUUGGAAUAAAUAUGGCUUCUGGGGGCCCAUUCCUAUGGAUCAGCAGCUGGCUUCUGGAGGCCCAUUCCUGUGAAUCGUCGAUCUCAUAGAAGAUAAUAUUGUUAGAAGGCUUACCUCAUUGAUGCUGAACAUCCUAAAAAGCUUCUGCUGCUUUGAGUCACUGAAAAAGACCAAGAAACAUGAAUUUAAAAAAAAAUUUCAAAUGUUAUAAAAUAAAUAAUAUGAACUCAUUAUACCUACAAUGAAUAAUUUAAAUUCUUCUUUGGUAGUCCAGCAUAGGUUUAGAAACUAUGAAAACCCUAGAAGAAAACCUAGGCAAUGCCAUUCAGGACAUAGGCACGGACAAAGAUUUCAUGACGAAGACGCCAAAAACAACUGCAACAAAAGCAAAAAUUGACAGAUGGGAUCUCAUUAAACUAAAGAGCUUCCAUACAGCAAAAGAAGCUACCAUGAGAGUGAACAGACAACCUAUAGAAAGGGAGAAAAAUUUUGCAAUCUGUUCAUCUGACAAAGGUCUAAUAUCCAGCAUCUACAAGGAACUUAAAUAAAUUUACAAGAAAAAAACAAACCCAUUAGAAAAUGGGCAAAGGACAUGAAAAGAUACUUCUCAAAAGACAUACAUGUGGCCAACAAUCAUACAAAAAAAA
Molecule: long non-coding RNA, 864 nt
Organism: Homo sapiens (human)
Lineage: Eukaryota; Metazoa; Chordata; Mammalia; Primates; Hominidae
Gene: HRAT17
Product: heart tissue-associated transcript 17
Source: Ensembl